RNAcentral lists this ribosomal RNA (2194 nucleotides) under Salmonella enterica subsp. enterica serovar Enteritidis. RNAcentral's name for it is "partial 23S ribosomal RNA". It matches the Rfam family "Bacterial large subunit ribosomal RNA", at positions 624 to 2802 of the family's 2925-position model. Lineage: Bacteria; Pseudomonadati; Pseudomonadota; Gammaproteobacteria; Enterobacterales; Enterobacteriaceae. The record is from RNAcentral.
CGACUUAUAUUCUGUAGCAAGGUUAACCGAAUAGGGGAGCCGGAGGGAAACCGAGUCUUAAUUGGGCGUUAAGUUGCAGGGUAUAGACCCGAAACCCGGUGAUCUAGCCAUGGGCAGGUUGAAGGUUGGGUAACACUAACUGGAGGACCGAACCGACUAAUGUUGAAAAAUUAGCGGAUGACCUGUGGCUGGGGGUGAAAGGCCAAUCAAACCGGGAGAUAGCUGGUUCUCCCCGAAAGCUAUUUAGGUAGCGCCUCGUGAAUUCAUCUCCGGGGGUAGAGCACUGUUUCGGCUAGGGGGCCAUCCCGGCUUACCAACCCGAUGCAAACUGCGAAUACCGGAGAAUGUUAUCACGGGAGACACACGGCGGGUGCUAACGUCCGUCGUGAAGAGGGAAACAACCCAGACCGCCAGCUAAGGUCCCAAAGUCAUGGUUAAGUGGGAAACGAUGUGGGAAGGCCCAGACAGCCAGGAUGUUGGCUUAGAAGCAGCCAUCAUUUAAAGAAAGCGUAAUAGCUCACUGGUCGAGUCGGCCUGCGCGGAAGAUGUAACGGGGCUAAACCAUGCACCGAAGCUGCGGCAGCGACACUGUGUGUUGUUGGGUAGGGGAGCGUUCUGUAAGCCUGUGAAGGUGUGUCGUGAGGCAUGCUGGAGGUAUCAGAAGUGCGAAUGCUGACAUAAGUAACGAUAAAGCGGGUGAAAAGCCCGCUCGCCGGAAGACCAAGGGUUCCUGUCCAACGUUAAUCGGGGCAGGGUGAGUCGACCCCUAAGGCGAGGCCGAAAGGCGUAGUCGAUGGGAAACGGGUUAAUAUUCCCGUACUUGGUGUUACUGCGAAGGGGGGACGGAGAAGGCUAUGUUGGCCGGGCGACGGUUGUCCCGGUUUAAGCGUGUAGGUGUGUGUUCCAGGUAAAUCCGGUUCACUUUAACACUGAGGCGUGACGACGAGGCACUACGGUGCUGAAGCAACAAAUGCCCUGCUUCCAGGAAAAGCCUCUAAGCAUCAGGUAACAUCAAAUCGUACCCCAAACCGACACAGGUGGUCAGGUAGAGAAUACCAAGGCGCUUGAGAGAACUCGGGUGAAGGAACUAGGCAAAAUGGUGCCGUAACUUCGGGAGAAGGCACGCUGACACGUAGGUGAAGUGAUUUACUCAUGGAGCUGAAGUCAGUCGAAGAUACCAGCUGGCUGCAACUGUUUAUUAAAAACACAGCACUGUGCAAACACGAAAGUGGACGUAUACGGUGUGACGCCUGCCCGGUGCCGGAAGGUUAAUUGAUGGGGUCAGCGCAAGCGAAGCUCCUGAUCGAAGCCCCGGUAAACGGCGGCCGUAACUAUAACGGUCCUAAGGUAGCGAAAUUCCUUGUCGGGUAAGUUCCGACCUGCACGAAUGGCGUAAUGAUGGCCAGGCUGUCUCCACCCGAGACUCAGUGAAAUUGAACUCGCUGUGAAGAUGCAGUGUACCCGCGGCAAGACGGAAAGACCCCGUGAACCUUUACUAUAGCUUGACACUGAACAUUGAGCCUUGAUGUGUAGGAUAGGUGGGAGGCUUUGAAGUGUGGACGCCAGUCUGCAUGGAGCCGACCUUGAAAUACCACCCUUUAAUGUUUGAUGUUCUAACGUGGACCCGUUACCCGGGUUGCGGACAGUGUCUGGUGGGUAGUUUGACUGGGGCGGUCUCCUCCUAAAGAGUAACGGAGGAGCACGAAGGUUGGCUAAUCCUGGUCGGACAUCAGGAGGUUAGUGCAAUGGCAUAAGCCAGCUUGACUGCGAGCGUGACGGCGCGAGCAGGUGCGAAAGCAGGUCAUAGUGAUCCGGUGGUUCUGAAUGGAAGGGCCAUCGCUCAACGGAUAAAAGGUACUCCGGGGAUAACAGGCUGAUACCGCCCAAGAGUUCAUAUCGACGGCGGUGUUUGGCACCUCGAUGUCGGCUCAUCACAUCCUGGGGCUGAAGUAGGUCCCAAGGGUAUGGCUGUUCGCCAUUUAAAGUGGUACGCGAGCUGGGUUUAGAACGUCGUGAGACAGUUCGGUCCCUAUCUGCCGUGGGCGCUGGAGAACUGAGGGGGGCUGCUCCUAGUACGAGAGGACCGGAGUGGACGCAUCACUGGUGUUCGGGUUGUCAUGCCAAUGGCACUGCCCGGUAGCUAAAUGCGGAAGAGAUAAGUGCUGAAAGCAUCUAAGCACGAAACUUGCCCCGA